RNAcentral lists this ribosomal RNA (243 nucleotides) under uncultured bacterium. RNAcentral describes it as "partial 16S ribosomal RNA". It matches the Rfam family "Bacterial small subunit ribosomal RNA", at positions 524 to 763 of the family's 1533-position model. The record is from RNAcentral.
UACGUAGGGUGCGAGCGUUAAUCGGAAUUACUGGGCGUAAAGCGUGCGCAGGCGGUUAUAUAAGACAGAUGUGAAAUCCCCGGGCUCAACCUGGGACCUGCAUUUGUGACUGUAUAGCUAGAGUACGGCAGGAGGGGAUGGAAUUCCGCGUGUAGCAGUAGAAAUGCGUAGAUAUGCGGAGAACACCGAUGGCGAAGGCAACUCCCCGUGGGCCUGUACUGACGCUCAUGCAACGAAAGCGGU